This 796-nucleotide ribosomal RNA is filed under the name uncultured archaeon. RNAcentral describes it as "bacterial SSU rRNA". It matches the Rfam family "Archaeal small subunit ribosomal RNA", at positions 85 to 879 of the family's 1478-position model. The record is from RNAcentral.
ACUGCUCAGUAACACGUGGAUAACCUGCCCUUGGGUCCGGCAUAACCCCGGGAAACUGGGGAUAAUUCCGGAUAACGCAUAUGUGCUGGAAUGCUUUAUGCGUCAAAUGGAUUCGUCUGCCCAAGGAUGGGUCUGCGGCCUAUCAGGUAGUAGUGGGUGUAAUGUACCUACUAGCCGACAACGGGUACGGGUUGUGAGAGCAAGAGCCCGGAGAUGGAUUCUGAGACAUGAAUCCAGGCCCUACGGGGCGCAGCAGGCGCGAAAACUUUACAAUGCGGGAAACCGUGAUAAGGGGACACCGAGUGUCAGCAUCAUAUGCUGGCUGUCCAGGUGUGUAAAAUACACCUGUUAGCAAGGGCCGGGCAAGACCGGUGCCAGCCGCCGCGGUAACACCGGCGGCCCGAGUGGUGAUCGUGAUUAUUGGGUCUAAAGGGUCCGUAGCCGGUUCGGUCAGUCCUCCGGGAAAUCUGAUAGCUCAACUAUUAGGCUAUCGGGGGAUACUACCAGACUUGGAACCGGGAGAGGUAAGAGGUACUACAGGGGUAGGAGUGAAAUCUUGUAAUCCCUGUGGGACCACCUGUGGCGAAGGCGUCUUACCAGAACGGGUUCGACGGUGAGGGACGAAAGCUGGGGGCACGAACCGGAUUAGAUACCCGGGUAGUCCCAGCCGUAAACGAUGCUCGCUAGGUGUCAGGCAUGGCGCGACCGUGUCCGGUGCCGCAGGGAGGCCGUGAAGCGAGCCACCUGGGAAGUACGGCCGCAAGGCUGAAACUUAAAGGAAUUGGCGGGGGAGCAC